This 886-nucleotide ribosomal RNA is filed under the name uncultured Bacteroidota bacterium. RNAcentral's name for it is "bacterial SSU rRNA". It matches the Rfam family "Bacterial small subunit ribosomal RNA", at positions 8 to 893 of the family's 1533-position model. The record is from RNAcentral. Lineage: Bacteria; Pseudomonadati; Bacteroidota.
AGAGUUUGAUCAUGGCUCAGGAUGAACGCUAGCGGCAGGCCUAAUACAUGCAAGUCGAACGGUAAGGCCCUUUCGGGGGUACACGAGUGGCGGACGGGUGCGUAACGCGUAUGCAACAUGCCUCAAAGCGGGGGAUAUGCCGGGGAAACUCGGUGCAACACCCCAUAGUAUCAUGGAUCCGCAUGGUUUUAUGAUUAAAUCAGCGAUGAGCUUUGAGAUUGGCAUGCGUGGCAUUAGCUAGUUGGCGGGGUAAAGGCCCACCAAGGCUUCGAUGCCUAGCUGGUCUGAGAGGAUGACCAGCCACACUGGGACUGAGACACGGCCCAGACUCCUACGGGAGGCAGCAGUAGGGAAUAUUGGACAAUGGGGGGAACCCUGAUCCAGCCAUGCCGCGUGAGGGAAGAAGGUCCUCUGGACUGUAAACCUCUUUUGCCGGGGGACAAACCUGCGCUACACGCGCAGUUGAGGGUACCCGGAGAAUAAGCACCGGCUAACUCCGUGCCAGCAGCCGCGGUAAUACGGAGGGUGCAAGCGUUGUCCGGAUUCAUUGGGUUUAAAGGGUGCGUAGGCGGCCCUGUAAGUCAGCGGUGAAAUCCCACGGCUCAACCGUGGAACUGCCGUUGAUACUGCGGGGCUUGAGUUCGCCCGAGGUCGCUGGAAUGCGUGGUGUAGCGGUGAAAUGCAUAGAUAUCACGCAGAACACCGAUUGCGAAGGCAGGUGACUGGGGCGCGACUGACGCUGAGGCACGAAAGUGUGGGGAGCAAACAGGAUUAGAUACCCUGGUAGUCCACACCGUAAACGAUGGAUACUAGGUGUCCGGCCUUUCGGGGCUGGGUGCCCAAGGGAAACCGAUAAGUAUCCCACCUGGGGAGUACGUCCGCAAGG